CCUACGGGAGUCUGCAGUGAGGAAUAUUGGUCAAUGGGCGCGAGCCUGAACCAGCCAAGUCGCGUGAGGGAGGACGGCCCUACGGGUUGUAAACCUCUUUUGCCGGGGAGCAACGGGCGUCACGUGUGGCGCCACUGAGAGUACCCGGAGAAAAAGCAUCGGCUAACUCCGUGCCAGCAGCCGCGGUAAUACGAAGGAUGCGAGCGUUAUACGGAUUUAUUGGGUUUAAAGGGUGCGUAGGCGGAUCGUUAAGUCAGUGGUCAAAUUGAGGGGCUCAACCCCUUCCCGCCAUUGAAACUGGCGUUCUUGAGUGGAAGAGAAGUAUGCGGAAUGCGUGGUGUAGCGGUGAAAUGCAUAGAUAUCACGCAGAACCCCGAUUGCGAAGGCAGCAUGCCGGCUUCCGACUGACGCUGAAGCACGAAAGCGUGGGGAUCGAACAGGAUUAGAUACCCUUGUAGUC
RNAcentral lists this ribosomal RNA (460 nucleotides) under uncultured bacterium. RNAcentral describes it as "partial 16S ribosomal RNA". It matches the Rfam family "Bacterial small subunit ribosomal RNA", at positions 338 to 795 of the family's 1533-position model. The record is from RNAcentral.